Molecule: non-coding RNA, 171 nt
Organism: Pelobates cultripes (western spadefoot toad)
Lineage: Eukaryota; Metazoa; Chordata; Amphibia; Anura; Pelobatidae
Source: the annotation of a GenBank genome assembly
GCUGACACGUCCCGGCCAAUCUCCAGCAGACCCUCUCUCCCAGACCCUCUUACUUCCUGGACAGCAUCCAUGUUUCAGCAUCUAUGCAUCCAUGUUUCAACAUGGAUGCUGUCCAGGAAGUAGGAGGGUCUGGGAGGGAGGGUCUGCUGGAGAUUGGCCGGGACGUGUCAG